UGAAUCAGACCAUUGCGCUGUGAAUAUUCCUGAUCUUGUCUGAACCCAGAAGUACAACACAAGGUUGGUGCUGAUUACCGUGUACAUGGAAGACUUCUUGGGAGUAUUACCUGAUGUAA
RNAcentral lists this ribosomal RNA (119 nucleotides) under Callorhinchus milii (elephant shark). The record is from RNAcentral. Lineage: Eukaryota; Metazoa; Chordata; Chondrichthyes; Chimaeriformes; Callorhinchidae.